Molecule: ribozyme, 89 nt
Filed under: Aedes aegypti (yellow fever mosquito)
Lineage: Eukaryota; Metazoa; Arthropoda; Insecta; Diptera; Culicidae
Description: drz-agam-1 ribozyme
Rfam family: drz-agam-1 ribozyme
Source: Rfam by way of RNAcentral
UGCCCAGCAGCUCCUAUCCCUACCUCCUCGUGGUACUGGCCGGGGUACGAGUAACCUGAGGGCAGAUCGGGUAACCAACCCUGGGAAGG